UACGAAGGGUGCUAGCGUUGUUCGGAAUUAUUGGGCGUAAAGCGUACGUAGGCGGCUCGGUAAGUCAAUUGUGAAAGCCCUAAGCUCAACUUGGGAAUUGCAAUCGAAACUGCCUUGCUUGAGUUUGGUCGGGGAUGGUGGAAUUUCUAGUGUAGGGGUGAAAUCCGUAGAUAUUAGAAGGAAUAUCGGUGGCGAAAGCGACCAUCUAGGCCAAUACUGACGCUAAGGUACGAAAGCGUGGGGAGCAAACAGGAUUAGAAACCCGUGUAGU
This 271-nucleotide ribosomal RNA is filed under the name uncultured bacterium. RNAcentral describes it as "partial 16S ribosomal RNA". It matches the Rfam family "Bacterial small subunit ribosomal RNA", at positions 524 to 794 of the family's 1533-position model. The record is from RNAcentral.